Nicotiana attenuata is the source of this 993-nucleotide long non-coding RNA. RefSeq lists it as uncharacterized. Lineage: Eukaryota; Viridiplantae; Streptophyta; Magnoliopsida; Solanales; Solanaceae. The record is from RefSeq and is a predicted model, not a curated record. The transcript has 2 exons.
UAUUUACUUAUAUCAAGAUUAAUCUCAGCCAUUAGACGCAUCUAAAGGAUUUAUUUCUAAAAUUAAAUUUGACUAGGGUUCCAUCUCUUUCCCUCUUCCAAGGAAAACCAACGCCUCUCUUUUCUCUACCAUGGCAGAAUCUUUUUUGGCUCCUUCUAAUUUCUUAGCGAAUUUGACUCUCAUAUCUUAUAAUAAAAAUUUUGUGUGGCCAUUCUAAGAAAUCAUUUGCAAAAUCAAGAACUUCAAUUGAAGAAUUCAAAUUUGCUUGCUAUUUACAAUGAAGAUGGCAGAGGUAAAAAGGUUCUCUUUCUUUUGUGUUUCCUCCAAGAUUCACAAUUUUGGCAACCGAAUCUAUGCUCACUCUGACCAUAUCGUCCUUUGCUUUCUGCUACACACUAUUUCAAAUGGGUUUUUAGCCGUUUGAAACCCUAACCCUUCAAGAAUCCCGCCCAAAUCUACCCUAGAAGAGCCCUAAUGCAUCUCCUAUAAAUAUCAGACUUUGUGGCUAGUUUCGGGCACCUUGGUACCCGCCGCUUCAGACCCUUGUACGGUUACUCCUCUUUCAUUUUUACUCCUUUAAACCAUUUUCUAAAAGCUUGCUUCUCUCUUGGUUUUUUGAAAAAAUAUAACCUUGAGGCAUUACUGUUUUUUCGGAGUUUGACUGUCGCGAAUCUUAGGCCGAAAAUAGUAGACCUAUUUGCACGCCCCAAGUUCGCUAGAUCGCAAAAGCAAUAUGAGUUUUAAUGCAAGACCCGCCCCGUAUCAGCAUGGUGUCAUUACUAUUGAGCCUUAGACUAUGAUGGACAUCUUGAAGAAGAACAAGCGAAAAGCUUGGGGUCACCUAUGGCGGCCUUCGUUAUUUACAUUUACUCUAUUUCAAAUUUUUAAUCAAUUUGAUUAUGUUCUUUUGAUUAGUUUAGUUUCAUACUUCACUUGGGAUUGUUGAUUUACUUUUGACUCCUUCACUUAGUAUUCUCACUUAGUUACUCGCAA